UACGGAGGGUGCAAGCGUUAUCCGGAUUCACUGGGCUUAAAGGGUGCGUAGGUGGGUAAGUAAGUCAGUGGUGAAAUCUCCGGGCUUAACCCGGAAACUGCCAUUGAUACUAUUUGUCUUGAAUACUGUGGAGGUCAGCGGAAUAUGUCAUGUAGCGGUGAAAUGCUUAGAUAUGACAUAGAACACCAAUUGCGAAGGCAGCUGGCUAGACAAAUAUUGACACUGAGGCACGAAAGCGUGGGGAUCAAACAGG
Molecule: ribosomal RNA, 253 nt
Filed under: uncultured bacterium
Lineage: Bacteria
Description: partial 16S ribosomal RNA
Rfam family: Bacterial small subunit ribosomal RNA
Source: RNAcentral